Gossypium raimondii (Peruvian cotton) is the source of this 86-nucleotide non-coding RNA. Lineage: Eukaryota; Viridiplantae; Streptophyta; Magnoliopsida; Malvales; Malvaceae. The record is from Rfam.
GCAUGCCUGGCUCCCUGUAUGCCAUUUGCAAAGCUCAUCAAGAGUCUGGUGGCCUUCGCGUAUGGCGUGCGAGGAGCCAUGCAUGC